This 450-nucleotide ribosomal RNA is filed under the name uncultured bacterium. RNAcentral's name for it is "partial 16S ribosomal RNA". It matches the Rfam family "Bacterial small subunit ribosomal RNA", at positions 354 to 796 of the family's 1533-position model. The record is from RNAcentral.
GUGGGGAAUAUUCCGCAAUGGACGAAAGUCUGACGGAGCAACGCCGCGUGAGUGAUGAAGGUUUUCGGACUGUAAAGCUCUGUUGUUUAGGACGAAAGUGCCUGUUGCGAACAGUUACAGGUAUUGACGGUACUAAACGAGGAAGCCACGGCUAACUACGUGCCAGCAGCCGCGGUAAUACGUAGGUGGCAAGCGUUGUCCGGAAUUAUUGGGCGUAAAGAGCAUGUAGGCGGAGAUUUAAGUCUGUUGUGAAAAUGCGGGGCUCAACCCCGUAUUGCAAUGGAAACUGAAGUUCUUGAGUGCAGGAGAGGAAAGGGGAAUUCCCAGUGUAGCGGUGAAAUGCGUAGAUAUUGGGAGGAACACCAGUGGCGAAGGCGCCUUUCUGGACUGUGUCUGACGCUGAGAUGCGAAAGCCAGGGUAGCGAACGGGAUUAGAUACCCUUGUAGUCC